Molecule: ribosomal RNA, 253 nt
Filed under: uncultured bacterium
Lineage: Bacteria
Description: partial 16S ribosomal RNA
Rfam family: Bacterial small subunit ribosomal RNA
Source: RNAcentral
UACGUAGGGGGCAAGCGUUGUCCGGAAUGAUUGGGCGUAAAGGGCGCGUAGGCGGCUCUGUAAGUCUGGAGUGAAAGUCCUGCUUUUAAGGUGGGAAUUGCUUUGGAUACUGUAGGGCUUGAGUGCAGGAGAGGUAAGUGGAAUUCCCAGUGUAGCGGUGAAAUGCGUAGAGAUUGGGAGGAACACCAGUGGCGAAGGCGACUUACUGGACUGUAACUGACGCUGAGGCGCGAAAGUGUGGGGAGCAAACAGG